Molecule: ribosomal RNA, 443 nt
Filed under: uncultured bacterium
Lineage: Bacteria
Description: partial 16S ribosomal RNA
Rfam family: Bacterial small subunit ribosomal RNA
Source: RNAcentral
CCUACGGGAGGCAGCAGUGGGGAAUAUUGGGCAAUGGGCGCAAGCCUGACCCAGCAACGCCGCGUGAAGGAAGAAGGCUUUCGGGUUGUAAACUUCUUUUUUCAGGGACGUAGAAAGUGACGGUACCUGCGGAAUAAGCCACGGCUAACUACGUGCCAGCAGCCGCGGUAAUACGUAGGUGGCAAGCGUUAUCCGGAUUUACUGGGUGUAAAGGGCGUGUAGGCGGGAAGGCAAGUCAGAUGUGAAAUCCACGGGCUCAACCUGUGGCCUGCAUUUGAUACUGUUUUUCUUGAGUACAGGAGAGGCAGACGGAAUUCCUGGUGUAGCGGUGAAAUGCGUAGAUAUUAGGAGGAACACCAGUGGCGAAGGCGGUCUGCUGGACAGCAACUGACGCUGAGGCGCGAAAGCGUGGGGAGCAAACAGGAUUAGAUACCCCUGUAGUC